This 1133-nucleotide long non-coding RNA is filed under the name Cricetulus griseus (Chinese hamster). RNAcentral describes it as "lncRNA (ENSCGRG00015029154.1)". The record is from RNAcentral. Lineage: Eukaryota; Metazoa; Chordata; Mammalia; Rodentia; Cricetidae.
CAUUUACCUUUCUCUAUUUCUGUAUACCUUUCUUUACUUCUUGGUCCAUGGGUUGCUGUGUAGCUGGGUGGCUGGCCCCUAGAGUCUUCCUCUCCUUCUUUUGCUCCCUGAUCCUCUCCUCCCAGAGUUCUCCUCUAUUUUAUUCUUUCUGCCUGCCAGCCCGGCCUAUCCUUUCUCCUGCCAGGCUAUUGGCUGUUCAGCUGUUUAUUAUACCAAUCAGGAGUUUUUGACAGGCAAAGUAACCAGCUGCCCAGAGUUUCCGCAGGUGUCAAUAUAAGGGAGAAAUAAUGGUGCUUCCUUAAGGUCAAAUAAAGUCAUAAAUCUGCACAAACCAGACUUUGGUUAAAAAGAGCGAAGUGGCUAGCAUUGGGAUUAGGGAUUUUCUUUUAGUUUUUGUUGUUGUGUUUUGUUUUUCAACACAGAGUUUCUCUGUGUAACCCUGGUGUCCUGGAACUCCCUCUGCAGACCAGGCUGGCCUCAAAUCCAGAGAUUCACAUGCCUCUGCCUUGAGAGUGCUGGGAUUAAAGGUUCAUAUGCCUACAGUGCAAGGGAACAGCAGAGCAGAGGCCUGGGACUUGAAAUGGAGCCACUCACAGCCUGAAUAACAAGACAGAGAAAACCGGCAUGUCAGAGGGAGUGAAUAAAGUUAAGCCUGAGCAGUAGGAUGUACUUUGCUUCCCUGAACCUGUGUGAGAGGUUCAAAGUUCAGGGACCUGUGUGCAGAAUGCAGAUCCUGUGUGAAGAUGGAGCCAAGGACCCUGGGCAGAGAACUGCAGAAGACACAGACCCCAAGCAAUCCCUUCCCUUUCUGUUGCCCCUUCCCUGGAAAUGCCUGCACCAAACAGCCAGGAAUGAAAAGAACAAAUGUCACUCUGAAUGACAAGGAGCCAUUUGAUACUCCAGCGGCUCUUGUUUUUGGCUGCACACUGGAAAGUUUCCAAAGUACUCAUGAGUGUACCAUACUGCCUCCUGUGAUCUGAAAUGAAGUGGUGUCACAUGACCCCAGCAUACGUAAUUUUUUAAAGUCACUCAGCUGGUUGUUUAAAGUGGGUUUUUGUUUGUUGGGUUUGUUUUGUUUUUGAGACGGGGUUUGAAUGUGAAAUGCUCCCCAUGUUUGAACAUAUGAUCCCCAG